AGUGAACGCUGGCGGUAGGCCUAACACAUGCAAGUCGAACGGCAGCACAGUAAGAGCUUGCUCUUACGGGUGGCGAGUGGCGGAUGGGUGAGGAAUACAUCGGAAUCUACUUAUUCGUGGGGGAUAACGGAGGGAAACUUACACUAAUACAGCAUACGACCUACGGCUGGAAGUAGGGGAUAUUCGUGCCUUGCCCGAUUGAAUGAGUCGAUGUCGGUUUAGCUAGUUGGCGGGGAAAAGGCCGACCAAGGCAAGGAUCCGUACCUGGUCUGAGAGGAUGAUCAGCCACACUGGAACUGAGACAAGCUCCAGACUCUUACGGGGGGAAGAAGUGGGGAAUAUUGGACAAUGGGCGCAAGCCUGACCCAGCCAGACCGGGUGGGUGAGGAAGGCCUUCGGGCGGUAAAGCCCUUUUGUUGGGAAAGAAAAGCAGCAGGUUAAAACCCCGCUGUUGUGACGGUACCCAAAGAGUAAGCACCGGCUAACUACGUG
RNAcentral lists this ribosomal RNA (492 nucleotides) under uncultured bacterium. RNAcentral's name for it is "partial 16S ribosomal RNA". It matches the Rfam family "Bacterial small subunit ribosomal RNA", at positions 29 to 507 of the family's 1533-position model. The record is from RNAcentral.